This 253-nucleotide ribosomal RNA is filed under the name uncultured bacterium. RNAcentral's name for it is "partial 16S ribosomal RNA". It matches the Rfam family "Bacterial small subunit ribosomal RNA", at positions 524 to 776 of the family's 1533-position model. The record is from RNAcentral.
UACGGAGGGUGCAAGCGUUAUCCGGAUUCACUGGGUUUAAAGGGUGCGUAGGCGGGCAGGUAAGUCCGUGGUGAAAUCUCCAAGCUUAACUUGGAAACUGCCGUGGAUACUAUUUGUCUUGAAUAUAGUGGAGGUGAGCGGAAUAUGUCAUGUAGCGGUGAAAUGCUUAGAUAUGAUAUAGAACACCCAUUGCGAAGGCAGCUCGCUACACUAUUAUUGACGCUGAGGCACGAAAGCGUGGGGAGCAAACAGG